UAGAUACCCUGGUAGUCCACGCCGUAAACGAUGGAUACUAGCUGUUGGAGGUAUCGACCCCUUCAGUAGCGAAGCUAACGCGUUAAGUAUCCCGCCUGUGGAGUACGGUCGCAAGACUAAAACAUAAAGGAAUUGACGGGGACCCGCACAAGCGGUGGAUCAUGUUCUUUAAUUCGAUGCUAAACGAAGAACCUUACCAGGGCUUGACAUCCCAAGAAUUACUCCGAAAGGAGUGAGUGCUUUAUUGAAC
RNAcentral lists this ribosomal RNA (250 nucleotides) under uncultured bacterium. Its description in RNAcentral is "partial 16S ribosomal RNA". It matches the Rfam family "Bacterial small subunit ribosomal RNA", at positions 779 to 1027 of the family's 1533-position model. The record is from RNAcentral.